This is a non-coding RNA of Suillus subalutaceus, 82 nucleotides long. Lineage: Eukaryota; Fungi; Basidiomycota; Agaricomycetes; Boletales; Suillaceae. The record is from the annotation of a RefSeq genome assembly.
UUGGUCUUAGUUAAGUGGUUACCACAACAGAAUCAAAAUCUGUUUCUCUUGGACCGCGCAGGUUCGAAACCUGCUGACGACG